UGCCUUAGUAACGGCGAGUGAAGCGGCAAUAGCUCAAAUUUGAAAGCUGGCCCCUUCGGGGUCCGCGUUGUAAUUUGUAGAGGAUGAUUCGGCGAGGGCUCCCGUCUAAGUCCCCUGGAACGGGGCGUCAUAGAGGGUGAGAAUCCCGUAUGUGAUGGGUUGCCUUAGCCAUGUGAAUCUCCUUCGACGAGUCGAGUUGUUUGGGAAUGCAGCUCUAAAUGGGAGGUAAAUUUCUUCUAAAGCUAAAUACCGGCCAGAGACCGAUAGCGCACAAGUAGAGUGAUCGAAAGAUGAAAAGCACUUUGGAAAGAGAGUUAAAAAGUACGUGAAAUUGUUGAAAGGGAAGCGCUUGCAGCCAGACUUGUCCGCAGUUGCUCAGCCGGUCUCCUGACCGGCGUACUCUUCUGCGGCCAGGCCAGCAUCAGUUCGGGCGGUCGGAUAAAGACCUCGGGAAUGUAGCUCCUCUCGGGGAGUGUUAUAGCCCGGGGUGGAAUGCGGCCAGCCUGGACUGAGGAUCUCGCUUCGGCUAGGAUGCUGGCGUAAUGGCUGUAAGCGGCCCGUCUUGAAACACGGACCAAGGAGUCUAACAUCUAUGCGAGUGUUUGGGUGUCAAACCCAUACGCGUAAUGAAAGUGAACGGAGGUGGGAACCCUCACGGGUGCACCAUCGACCGAUCCUGAUGUCUUCGGAUGGAUUUGAGUAAGAGCAUAGCUGUUGGGACCCGAAAGAUGGUGAACUAUGCCUGAAUAGGGUGAAGCCAGAGGAAACUCUGGUGGAGGCUCGCAGCGGUUCUGACGUGCAAAUCGAUCGUCAAAUUUGGGUAUAGGGGCGAAAGACUAAUCGAACCAUCUAG
This 853-nucleotide ribosomal RNA is filed under the name Dothiorella sp. JZG-2016c. Its description in RNAcentral is "eukaryotic LSU rRNA". It matches the Rfam family "Eukaryotic large subunit ribosomal RNA", at positions 76 to 947 of the family's 3401-position model. Lineage: Eukaryota; Fungi; Ascomycota; Dothideomycetes; Botryosphaeriales; Botryosphaeriaceae. The record is from RNAcentral.